UCUCCCUUUGCUCCCUCCUUUUUCUUUUUCAAUCCCACCCUCCUUUUCUCCAUGUAUUGCACGUUGUAAUACCCAGUCACUCUCACAGACACAGAAGCAGACGGGAACUGAAUACUGGUCGACAUGCCGACAGGGGAAGGAUUUAAUUUAAAGGGAGCUUGAAAACGAGACACUGUGCUGAUGUACAGAGAGGACUGCAGCAGCCUACACCAUGAUCGGCUGGUUUGACAAGUAUACCCUCUCUCCACCCUGCUCCUUUUACGGGGAUUGGUGAUUGUGGGGUGGUUCUUCAGCCCUAGUCGAGCUGCCAUCUCAAGAAGGUAGGGGUCUGUUGCCAAAUCUGCCCCCCUCAUCACCCUUACAUUACUCCACAGACGUCGGAACUUCUGGCUGAUGCAUAUGUGGUCGAUCUGGUUUUCAGUGAUACAGUCUGGAGAUCUCCAAGUGGCUUUGUGGAUUUGCUGGUGCAUGAAGAUGCUGCUUCCUAUCACUAACUGGUUGAGUGCACAGGUCUGUAAACCUUUCCCCAUUCUCGUUCAUCUUACCUAGCCCUUGUGUUCACAUUACCUCCUCAUGACCUGUGUUAUCCGACCCUAUCUUGGCAUUGAGAUCCCCCAUAAGUACCGUGAUGUCUUUGUUUCUACUCUUGUCCAGCUCAGCUUGUAGUUGCUGGUAGAAGGCAUCUUUCUUCUCUUCCUCCGCAUCAUUUGUGGGAGCAUAGCACUGUAUGACCCUAAAGUUGAUGCUGCUUUUCUUUGUGGCAAACUUGGCAGAGAUGAUACGUGAGCUGAUGGGUUCCCAGCCGAUGGUGUGGGAAGUGUGUGUGUAUUUGCCUGUAUAUCUUGAGACACCCAAGAUAUGCAGGUAAAGAUAAAGACUUGUGUAAUCUUAGAGUAGGGAAGAAUUUGUAGUAAAAUUGGUACAGAUUCAAGAAAGCUAAUGAAGGAGGAAGCCUUUUUUUUGCAUUAUCCAUAAAAUUGUUUUAUCCUCUACUAUUUUCCAUACCAGGGUCGUUUUAAUCACUGUGGCAAGUGGU
Solea solea (common sole) is the source of this 1036-nucleotide long non-coding RNA. RefSeq lists it as uncharacterized. The transcript is spliced from 3 exons. NCBI's taxonomy places the organism in Eukaryota, Metazoa, Chordata, Actinopteri, Pleuronectiformes, Soleidae. The record is from RefSeq and is a predicted model, not a curated record.